This is a long non-coding RNA of Mus caroli (Ryukyu mouse), 814 nucleotides long. RefSeq lists it as uncharacterized. The record is from RefSeq and is a predicted model, not a curated record. NCBI's taxonomy places the organism in Eukaryota, Metazoa, Chordata, Mammalia, Rodentia, Muridae.
AUUAAAGAUGAAUGUUAGGGCAACCCAUCCUUGACCGAGACAGAGAGGCCAAGACCAGGCACUCUGCAUAAAUGACCUCAUUCAGGGUGUUCGGACUCAGAGGAUGAAGAAGAUACCGGCUUGAAUCUCACUUCCAACAAGAAUUACUUUGAACCAGACCUGACCAGUUCUGAAGACAAGCUUACCCUCAACUUGUCCAGAAGGGAUCUGAAGCUGCACUUCUGAGACUCAAACAAGCACGUGAUCUGUCUGCAAAGCAAGUACCUGGCCUUCCUCAGAAUCAUCACCAUUUUCUAAUGCUGGCUUCUCCAACUCAAAGCCCAUGCAGAGCUCUCAUGAUUAUUCUGUUUAGCUGCUGGGAUUCUCGCCUCCCUCUAGAUUCCAGUCCCUACUUGGUGGUGGUGCCUUCUCUUUCAUCAGCUUCUGCCUGAAUCAGCUACACCUCAGAUUCACCAAGCUCCUUCUUUCCAGCCUCUUGUGUCUUCACUCAGUGUUUCUAACAGGCUCCUCCCUUUUCGCAUUGAUGGAUCCUGUGAGAAGAGCCUUCCAGUCUACAGUUAGUGUGUAAACAUUUCCUGCACUAAAGACAGGAACAGAAUCAACUAUCAAGAUGCACAGAAACCAACUUUGGGAACCUAUGCUGGAGUUAGAGGCAUCAGUAAGAGACACCAAUUCUUACAGACUAUCAACAUGAAGAGAAUGAAUACAUCAAACUAACCACAGAGACUUAAGCUACGCUGUAGAUGGCGAGAUAAUGUCAAGAUUCUGGAAAUAUCCAUGCUGAUCAAGGCGGGGGAGGGGGGGUGUGAUUAAA